RNAcentral lists this ribosomal RNA (309 nucleotides) under Staphylococcus aureus. RNAcentral describes it as "bacterial SSU rRNA". It matches the Rfam family "Bacterial small subunit ribosomal RNA", at positions 1048 to 1358 of the family's 1533-position model. Lineage: Bacteria; Bacillati; Bacillota; Bacilli; Caryophanales; Staphylococcaceae. The record is from RNAcentral.
GUUGUCGUCAGCUCGUGUCGUGAGAUGUUGGGUUAAGUCCCGCAACGAGCGCAACCCUUAAGCUUAGUUGCCAUCAUUAAGUUGGGCACUCUAAGUUGACUGCCGGUGACAAACCGGAGGAAGGUGGGGAUGACGUCAAAUCAUCAUGCCCCUUAUGAUUUGGGCUACACACGUGCUACAAUGGACAAUACAAAGGGCAGCGAAACCGCGAGGUCAAGCAAAUCCCAUAAAGUUGUUCUCAGUUCGGAUUGUAGUCUGCAACUCGACUACAUGAAGCUGGAAUCGCUAGUAAUCGUAGAUCAGCAUGCU